Oreochromis aureus is the source of this 376-nucleotide long non-coding RNA. NCBI's taxonomy places the organism in Eukaryota, Metazoa, Chordata, Actinopteri, Cichliformes, Cichlidae. The record is from Ensembl.
AGAUGAAAUCAGGAGAUGUCCUUACUGAAUCAUCAGAGCUGAACUGGUGAUGGAGAAACAGGUUUACACUUUAGGUGACAUGAAUGAGUUGAAGGGAAGUUAUGAACUGUUUCUGAGAGAAAUAAACACCAAGCUCCUUUUUUUAUUUAGCUGACAGCUGGUAACUGUGCAGGGGCGGAUCUAGCAAAGCUUUUGCCAGGGGGCCAGGUAGGGCAUUAACAGAGAAAGGUGGACACAAAGAUAUACUUUUCUUUCUUACUCUCAUACAGGGAGUGCAGAAUUAUUAGGCAAGUUGUAUUUUUGAGGAAUAAUUUUAUUAUUGAACAACAACCAUGUUCUCAAUGAACCCAAAAACACAUUAAUAUCAAAGCUGAAU